Molecule: transfer RNA, 85 nt
Organism: Felis catus (domestic cat)
Lineage: Eukaryota; Metazoa; Chordata; Mammalia; Carnivora; Felidae
Rfam family: tRNA
About the family: Transfer RNA (tRNA) molecules are approximately 80 nucleotides in length.
Source: Rfam
GCCUGGGUGGCUCAGUCGGUUGAGCGUCCGACUUCAGCUCGGGUCAUGAUUGCGCAGUUUGUGAGUUCGAGCCCCGCACCGGGCU